This 661-nucleotide ribosomal RNA is filed under the name uncultured archaeon. Its description in RNAcentral is "bacterial SSU rRNA". It matches the Rfam family "Archaeal small subunit ribosomal RNA", at positions 540 to 1201 of the family's 1478-position model. The record is from RNAcentral.
CUCCGUUAAAUCCAGCGAUUCAAUCGUGUGGACUGCGGGAGAUACUGCUGGACUAGGGGACGGGAGAGGCCGACGGUAUUCCCGGAGUAGGGGUGAAAUCCUAUAAUUGCCGGGACGACCACCAGUGGCGAAGGCUGUCGGCUAGAACGAGCUCGACGGUGAGGGACGAAAGCUGGGGGAGCGAACCGGAUUAGAUACCCGGGUAGUCCCAGCUGUAAACGAUGCGGGCUAGGUGUUAGGGUGGCUACGAGCCACUCUAGUGCCGCAGCGAAGGCGUUAAGCCCGCCGCCUGGGGAGUACGGCCGCAAGGCUGAAACUUAAAGGAAUUGGCGGGGGAGCACCGACAAGGCGUGAAGCGUGCGGUUUAAUUGGAGUCAACACCGGAAACCUUACCGGGGGCGACAGCAGGUUGAAGGCCAGAUUGACGAUCUUGCCAGACAAGCUGAGAGGAGGUGCAUGGCCGUCGCCAGUUCGUGCCGUGAGGUGUCCUGUUAAGUCAGGCAACGAUCGAGACUCACGCUCCCUGUUGCUACCAAGGAAAGUCUCCAAGGAGCACUCUGGGAGGACAGCCGCCGACAAGGCGGAGGAAGGAGUGGGCCACGGCAGGUCAGUAUGCCCCGAAUCCCCCGGGCCACGCGUGCUGCAAUGGCUGGUACAAUGG